This 212-nucleotide long non-coding RNA is filed under the name Mytilus galloprovincialis (Mediterranean mussel). The record is from RNAcentral. Lineage: Eukaryota; Metazoa; Mollusca; Bivalvia; Mytilida; Mytilidae.
GACAUGAUAUUGUUGAUAAUUGAUAGUUACAUAUAUGUCUCCUUGGUAUAUAUUGAGGUAGACAUGAUAUUGUUUUGCCCUUUCUGUCACACAGUUAAGCCAUUCUAGUCUAUCAGUUCUUCAUAAAAGUUGUUAUGAGUUCUCCUAUCUUCAGAUUACUCUUCAAUGCACAACAAAACUUGACACAAUUGCCUCAUAAAUUGUAAAACUGC